This is a long non-coding RNA of Populus nigra (black poplar), 953 nucleotides long. RefSeq lists it as uncharacterized. NCBI's taxonomy places the organism in Eukaryota, Viridiplantae, Streptophyta, Magnoliopsida, Malpighiales, Salicaceae. The record is from RefSeq and is a predicted model, not a curated record. The transcript has 2 exons.
UAUAAGAAACGGGACCAGAGGUCCAUAACACUCCAUUGCUAUGAGAAAAGUCAUCAAAAACAAAAGAAACAGUAGAGUUACCAUCCAGACUAAAGUAUGCUUAAUAAUCAGCAGGCAUGCUACCUUCAAGAAGAACAUGUUGAAUGAUCACCACCCAAUCACAGUUUUGGCAGCAGAGCACCACCCAAUAGCUCCGUGAGGCCACCUCUCCAGACUCCACUGCUAUCACUAACCAGUCCUCCCAAACCAGCUAUAACAGGACAGCACCAUAAUAUUUCAGUCACGCGGUUGUUACAAGCACCGAUAUUUAUUCAAAACUGUAACUUCUAGAUAGUAAUUACUCUGCUAUGGUUCAACUUUUUAUAGGAUUAGGAAAUUUGUGGUAAUAGAUCUUGAUGCGUGCCAGUUAUUGUUUUGUUACUUGUGCAGACAGCAGAGGAUUUUUUGGCUCAUCUGUUUGAACUUUGAAGAUGGCAUGCUCUGUGCAAUUCAUGCAAAACGCGUUACAUUAAUGAAAAGGGAUUUUGAGCUGGCUCAGCGGCUUGGAGGGAAGGGACAACCUUGGUGAGAGUAUGACAGUAAAAGAGCAUCACUUAUUGUAACCAACUUGUUAUGUAAUUAUGCGGUUGUUCUUUGGCAGCCAUCGCUUUCUAGCUGUUUAGCAGGUGUACUGGUAUGCAAUUAGCAAGCAAGAAGCAGUCUCGAUCCAUUUCACUCCACUUGCAAUGUGGCAGCGUCUAGAAAUUUACGAACACAGAAAAUUUGUGGUCCAUGAUAUUUUAGAUUAUAGAGAAGGUAGAUCCCAUGUCAAAGUUUCCUUGGAAUCCACAAAUCAUACUACGGUUAGAAAUGGCCAUUUAUUUUACUGUAAGCAUGUCCAGCACCCAUAUUUACUCCCGCUACUGUCAGGUUUUAUUAUUAUUAUUAUUGAAAAUGCUUGUUUUGAAGGGGGA